Molecule: long non-coding RNA, 313 nt
Filed under: Bos taurus (domestic cattle)
Lineage: Eukaryota; Metazoa; Chordata; Mammalia; Artiodactyla; Bovidae
Description: long non-coding RNA NONBTAT024172
Source: RNAcentral
AACACAUUCUAUGGGUUGUCCUCUGGGGGCCCAUAAGGAAUUCACACCUGUGAUUAACUUAACUGGCCGUCCCAUUUCCCCGAAGCCCCGUACAGAUCCAGUUGAGAGAGCAGCUCUCUGGCAAAGAACAACUUGAGUGUUUUAGAUAGACAUCAAUGUAUUACAGAUUCGAGUAAUUCAGCAUAUCACAACAAACACUGUGAAUGGAGCUAGGCUAGACUUUCACCAACAUACACGAUGAAGAGUGGGUAUGCCCGUCUGGGUAAGUACACCCUAACACUUAUUAUUAUAUUUGUCCUGGACAUUUGUAAAA